This 253-nucleotide ribosomal RNA is filed under the name uncultured bacterium. Its description in RNAcentral is "partial 16S ribosomal RNA". It matches the Rfam family "Bacterial small subunit ribosomal RNA", at positions 524 to 776 of the family's 1533-position model. The record is from RNAcentral.
UACAGAGGGUGCGAGCGUUAAUCGGAAUGACUGGGCGUAAAGGGCGCGUAGGCGGUUUGUACAGUCAGGUGUGAAAUUCCCGGGCUCAACCUGGGGGCUGCACUUGAUACGUAUGGACUGGAGUGGGGAAGAGGGUCGUGGAAUUCCCAGUGUAGAGGUGAAAUUCGUAGAUAUUGGGAAGAACACCGGUGGCGAAGGCGGCGACCUGGUCCUUGACUGACGCUGAGGCGCGAAAGCGUGGGGAGCAAACAGG